GGCCGCCUGGCGUAAUGGCAACGCGUCUGACUACGAGGGUAGCACCCAAAAUGCUCGGUAAUCAGGAGAUUGCAGGUUCGACCCCUGCGGUGGUCA
RNAcentral lists this transfer RNA (96 nucleotides) under Trametes cinnabarina. Its description in RNAcentral is "Pycnoporus cinnabarinus tRNA". It matches the Rfam family "tRNA". Rfam says of the family: Transfer RNA (tRNA) molecules are approximately 80 nucleotides in length. Their secondary structure includes four short double-helical elements and three loops (D, anti-codon, and T loops). Lineage: Eukaryota; Fungi; Basidiomycota; Agaricomycetes; Polyporales; Polyporaceae. The record is from Rfam by way of RNAcentral.